ACAGUAUGUGGGAAUUAUGGGAGCUAUAAUUCAAGAUGAGAUUUGGGUGGGACACAGCCAAACCAUAUCACUAGGUAAGAAGAGGGCUCCAUGCUAAGGAACAGGAUAUGCAAAGACCCUGUGGCAGGAGGAACUCUACCUGCUUUUUUGAAGAAUUCCAUAAGGUAGCCUUCAGUGGAGCUGAGUAGAGAGUGGGGGAGAGUGGGCUAAAACAUGAGGGGAGAAGUAGGCAAAAGCUAAAUCUCAUCAGGACCUUAUAGACAAUUGACAGAUGUUUGUCUUUAUCCAGUAAGGUGUUUGUAUGCUCCUUAAGUGGCAGCGGGGAGUGAGCAGAGCAGUGAAGAUAAACAUGAAAGCUGGUGGUAACAAAUUCUGAUACCUCCUCUAUUCCAAAAGGAAAGGCAGAACUCAGAGGCACCAUCCUCCUGUUGUGUUUGCAAGCUGUUGACACAACCUGGAAAGGUUAAAAGUUUUCAACAGACUUGUCAGAGUUUGUGUUCAAUGGAAACUGACAGAGCCUACCGGCUGAGGGGCUAAUUUUAAUAGAAAUAACCUAGGUGCGUUUGUUAAUUUUCUCCGUUCCCUCAAUGACCUGUCUGCAUAGCGUGAAGGUGCUUUGAUGUGACCAGGAGAACAGAAGGAUAUUUUGUGCAUAGCUGACCGUGAGAGGAAUGCUGGUUUUGCAAUGAGGAAGCACAGGAAGAUGACAGAACAAUGAGCAUAAGACAUGCUGGGUGCAUUUUUUGGACCUUACCACAUCUUGUUUGAGAGAAGUGGGACCAAUGCUGAUGAAACUCUUUCCCAUGGUGUGUUCUAUAUUCAUUGGAUGGGCAUCGCCUACGGCUGGAGCAGGGCUGAGCUCUGUACUGGUGUCUCUUAAAACACACCAGACAGCAACAGCUGAGAUACCUACUACCUGGAUCUGCUUGAUUAGAUCAUACGGUCAUAUUUGAUUACUUAGAAUGGGCUUCUGGAGGAUCUGUUGCUGAUUGCACUGAAACCAGAAGUUGUACUUGGCCAAGGACGAGCUAACCCCAAACAGCAAGAGGUUUGAGUUGGCUCCAAAGCACAAGCCUCACAAAUAUCCCGUGAGUCUCCCACAGGCUUGGGGCUCUCUGUUUAGAAUUAGAACCUAAUCUUCAAAUAUCCCUUUACCCUCUUGCCUCAAAAAGGAAGGCAGUGAAGAGCAGCAGCAAGGCAUCCUGGAUGAGCACUGGAAGGGGAGAAUGCUCAUGUUUUAGUCGUGGGCUUUCCACCAGUUAGCUGUGCAGCUUUGGGCAGAUACUUGAACUUCUCUGGUGCUCUGUUUCUUCAUGUUUAAAUGAGAGGAUUAAACUGUAUGACUUUUGGGUCGAAAGUACGUCUCUGCCAUCAGUAUCAUAACAAUUAUUGAAAUUGCUGCCUAGAAUCUUCCGCUACCACAGUGUAUUUUGAUUGGACUGUUUAUUGCCUUAGCAAACACAAUGCAGUGCUGUGUCUUUGGCAUCUUGCCAGGAAAGAUGAGCCAAUUUUCUCGUGUUGCUUCUGGAUGUCAAAACAUUCUCAUCUGACCAUGCCACAGAAGAAGUUUGUUGAGAGUGUGACUGACUGACAUAAUGACUGAUUGGCUGAUAACGGCAGCUGACAGUGAUUGAUUGAGUGUAAAAUUAUCUGUUCUCAUUACUUCUGAAAUUGAAUUCAGAUUGGUUCUAUUGGAGGGUUUCCAUGGAGACCAUAACCUGCUAUAGCAAGUGUUUGUGGAUGCAAUGUUUUAUUGUGAUCAAUACCUGUUUCCUCUGCUGGUCCAAAGAAAUUAUUAAUGAUUAUAGUCAAGUAGAAAGAGGCAACCAUAUAUAAGAAGAAAAAAACUCUCAUAUUUUGUCUCAUUGCUACAUAAAACAAAUGUGGGCCUUCCCAGACUUGCGCUUUGGCUAACUAGUUCAUAAUACGUUCGAUAACUUGCCAUUCUUCUUUUGCUAUUAAUGCAGAGGGUUUGCUUUGGAAAAAAGAAAAGUAUUUCUAGGACUCUUUCUCUCUUUGAAGAAGAUCAGAAUAAUAGACGAAUGUUCAUACUUGGUUUUUUUUUAAAUGCGAUGUUACAGAAACAACAAACAUUUAAUCAAAUCUUAAACACACCCAUGUUAAUGCAGAGACAGAGAUGGUCCCUCAGGCUUUUUCUGGGUUGUUUCCAUGAAUGAUAAAGUCAUUAAACAAUUUCAUAGGCUUGCCUUAUUGAUCUCUCACAAUGGCAUGCUAUGUCUGCUCUUCAGGAAAGCCUUUCCUGACUGCCCCCAUCAGAGUUAAUUACUACUUACUCUGUGUUCGCAUGGCCUUCUUCCAUCUUCUAUUAUAGCAUUCAUCUCAGGCCACCUUGCCUUACAAUUACUUGUAUCUCUUUUUCCCACUAGAUUAUGACCUCCUUGAGGACAGGGUGAUUUUCUUGUUGCUCUUUGUAUUAUCCUCAGCAUCUAGGUGAAUCUCUGAUACAUCACAAGGGUUCAAUAAAUGCUCAUUGAAUUGAAUUAACUGGAUCUGCAUUCCAAGGUCAUCUCUUCCUAGACUGGUGUUGAAUGGGAUUCCCAUGAAGUGAGGCAGCAGAGUGCGUGCUUGCUGGUUCUGUUGCUUUGUCUCCUGCCCUGUGGCUGCGUCUGUGCCCAAGAGGAUUGUUAGGAUAUAUUGUGCUACAGGAGAUUGAUAUUGUAUAGGAUGUCUGUACAGCUUAUAGACUGGUGCUGACCGUACUGAAAUGAUGGUGGGAGGAUACCUAAUAAGGAUUCUAUUUUAUGCUUAGCUGUAUUCAUUCAUUGGUUUGGUUGGAAUCUGCUUCAGCGUACUUCCUCUACCCAAAUUUGGCUCAUUAGCUGAAAUCACUUUGGGAUGAAUCCACUGUUAAUAGUGGCUAACAUUUUUCAUGCACUUACGACAUGUCUGGCACAGUACUAAGUACUUUACAUAUUUUUCAAUUCUUACACAUUGCUCCCAUUAUCCCAUUUUGAAGAUAAGGAGACUGAAGCACAGAGUGUUUAUUUCCUAAGGUCACACAGCUAGGAAGUAGAGGAGCUAGGAUUUGAAUUCCUAUAGUCUAGCUUCCUACCCCAUUCUUAAGCUAUCUACCCUGUUGCCGCCUGACAAAAGUGUGUUUCAAAAUUUAAUUCCUGAACUGACUGCAUCAAAAUCCCCUGUAGUGUUUGUUAAAAGUGAAGAUACCCCAAGACCUACUGAUUCAGGUUGUUUUCACCGAGGCCAGCAAAUCUGCACCAACAUGUUUUAUUCUGUUCUGUACCUCAAGCUUUGAUGCUGCUUUGUUUUCUUGUUUUGGGAGAAGGGCAGGGGUGGGGGUGGAGGCAAGCGAGUCCAAUACUACAACUUUAGAAAUCUCUGCUCUAGGGUGAACACUCUCUUUGAGACUUCUAAAUUAAAGUCAAGUCUUUUGGAUUUUUGUUUCUUUGUACUGCCUAACUUUAGAAAGACCUGGAAGCGGUAACAUGAAAACAUUUUUAGAGAGAAUUACCAGGCAUUUUUGGUAGAAUGAGUGUUUAAUGGAACAGUCCAGAGAACUCAUCAAAGAUGUUUAUUAAAACGCGCAGACCUGCUCCAAUUAAGGGCCCAGUCAGUGGUGUUAACAGUGAAGGGACUGUUCCAGAGGCGUGCUGCACGGGACGCCCACCCCAAAUACAAAUGGUUUGCCAGUAGCUCACAAAUGAACCCCAUUGCCUUGCACUUAAGCUUCCUGAAGCACAUACAUAUCCUGCUUUGUGCUUUCCGCCCUAUAGUAAACGCAAACCAAUGGAGAUGUGAAGCAAUCUAAUAGCAACAAGGCAAACCUCUACUUCCUCUAAAGAGGAUUGCAUCCUCUUGCUAUCUUUGCCGAUGCUCUCCUACAGACCCAUCCCUGUCAUGUCUUUCCUGUCUUUCUAGUAGAAUUCUGGCUGCUCCCGUAGGACCUCCUUGCGGGAAUUUUCCCUGGUUGCUGCCUCCAAGGAGAGGCUCCCCACCAGAAAGUUUUAAGAGGCUUAUGCUUCUGGGGUUAAUGCGGUCCUUUCUGUCACCUUGUUUUCUGUUCCUAGUUAUCUUUCGGUAACUUUUUUCCUAAACUACUCUGAAAGGCAUAGACUGUCUCUUGAAAGCUCAUCUGUUCUUAACCCCUUUCCCUCAUUCCACUGACUGCAGCAUCUUCCACAUACCAUUCCCUCUUAGCAUUUAUGUCCAUGUCAUGCUUUUGUUGGUUUAUUUGUGUAUUUUCUGCUUCCCACCAUUAGAUCAUUUGUAGAAUUAAUGAAUGCCUAUGGGUUAAUAGAUUUUUCGCUGUAUCCUCUUUUCUCUGUAUCUCUCUGCCCAGUUGCUUAGAAAUGCUUCUGUUUGUGUAUUUGUAUCCACCUUCUUUGGGGAGAGUUAUGACCCUGGUCCUUAUGCCAUCAGUGGUAUUGCAAUUUUGUAUGUAGCAUGACCAUUUUUAAAAAUGACAUUUCAUAGUGAGUGAUUCAGACACCUAUCAUUCAGCUUACCUGCCGGGGCCCUCCAAAAUGAGCAGAAGGCCUCUGUCUCAUUCUAGAAGCUUGAAGGUCUCCACGUGGUUUGCCCAGGGGCCCACAACCUCCCUGCAGUCCAGGAGUGCUCCCAUUAACCCCAGCUGUGUGAUUCAGACCAGAUUCUUAGGACUUUUUAAGUGAAAUGGGACAGAAAAUUGCUUGAUGUAUUUUGCCACAUGAAGUACAUUUUGCUGCCGCUUAGUUCUUUAUUGUCGUUAGAUUAAAAACUCUCCUAACGUUGUGUGGGUAAGUAAAAAUCUUUUUAUUUUUAUCUGGUAUGUUUUGAAAAAAAGGAAAAAAGAAACUAGACAUUGUCAAAAUAUUUGCUUAAUCUUGCAGAUUUGGGAAGUUGUAUAGCCACUCGCUCUGACAGACCAGAACAAUGGUCAUUAAAUGAGAAGCAGAUGUAAUAAAGUAUGCAGUAAAAGCCUUCUAUUAUGGGCUGGAAGGGGAAAAAAAUGAGUUGUUAACAGAACACAGUAAGCAUUAUGGAAUAAAUCAGAACAAAACCAUUCCCAAUUACUGUACAAAGAUAAUUAAAGUCUACAAUGCUAAUUAAGGUCUGUUUAUAUCUAUUUCUGUUUGUGUACAAACAUAUGCGCAUAGUUAAAUAUUUUCCAUUGUUUUUUAUGUGAUGCUAACUUCAUAGUUGAAUUUUUCUGAAUUUAACUUUUGUUUUUAUGUUACCAGGAAGUACAAUCUCCAGAAAACUGAAACUCCAGCUUUUCCUCCUUGAUCGUAGCUUAUUUUUCUUGGCUAACUUCAGAAAAUUCUUCAAGCCAGGAGGCUUUCUAAGCUUACUCCUGAUGCAGUUAAAACUCAAAGGUUUCUGGAAGCCAAUGAAAAUCCUCACCUCUGACUGAAAUGGAAUUUCAAGGGAAAGAAAAUACAACGUAUUUUAUGAGUCACAAAGACUGUCUGAGUCGCAUUUUCAUCUCUAGAAACUGGAAGAAGUUCUAAGAGUGUGAGGUAAUGACUCAAGGACAACAGCUCCCAGAAAAUAACAGGGUUUGCCCUGCUGCUUUGGAGGAGGUUCUCCUGAAUCAUGUCACUGAAGCACAGCUAGGGCCCGGGACCUGGGACCACAGCCCUUGAAGGGAAUGAGCGGCUGUCUGGGGGCUGAAAGUUCUCUCAGGAGAGGCGUUUUCACAAGGCUUUGUGAUACCGAGCCUCAGGCGUGGACAGAGACGUGUUUUAGGAUUUGAGAAGCCUGUGGAGAAAUUAAGUCAUGUCCCAGUGUACAGUGCUAUGCCAUAAGAAUGGCUAGAACUUUCAGGGGCAUCCUGGAGCUUGACCCUGGCUCAUCAUUUUAUACAUGAAGGGGCUUUGGGUCACGGAGGCAUGGGUUUGCGUCCUGUCUGUUUGAUUCAUUAGAUAUGUGAUCUGGGCCUAAAACUUCGGAGAUCUUAAACACCGAAAACCUUGGGGCACUUUUGCCUUGCUCCCAACCAUGAAAUACAAAAACCAAAGCAAAACAAACAAAAAGUAAGCCAGAAGAUAUAAAAUUGCUUAUAGGUCUGUUGUCUAACAUCAAGUGCGGAAAGGGGUCUAACAAAUUUCCAGCUGGGUGCGGUGGCUCACACCUUUAAUCCCAGCACUUUGGGAGGCUGAGGCAGGCAGAUUGCUUGAGCUCAA
This 6143-nucleotide long non-coding RNA is filed under the name Homo sapiens (human). RNAcentral describes it as "HSALNT0381608". Lineage: Eukaryota; Metazoa; Chordata; Mammalia; Primates; Hominidae. The record is from RNAcentral.